Molecule: non-coding RNA, 10028 nt
Organism: Callithrix jacchus (white-tufted-ear marmoset)
Lineage: Eukaryota; Metazoa; Chordata; Mammalia; Primates; Cebidae
Source: RefSeq, a predicted model, not a curated record
AAUGUACCAAAUUACAAUGGAAGAGCAUGCUGAGUGCAGUGGCUCAUGCCUGUAAUCCCAGCACUUUAGGAGGCUGUGGUGGAUAGAUCACUUGAGGUCAGGAGUUUGAGACCAGCCUGGCCAAUAUGAGGAAACCCCGUCUCUACUAAAAAUAUGAAAAUUAGCUAGGUGUGGUGAUGCGCACCUGUAAUCCCAGCUACUCAGGAGGCUGAGGCAGGAGAAUCACUUGAACCCAGGAGGUAGACAUUGCAGUGAGCUGAGAUCAUACCAUAGCACUCAAGCCUGGGCAACAGAGUGAGAGUCCAUCUCAAACAAACAAACAAAAAAGGAAAAGCAGCAUUAGAAAGAAAACCUGGACUGGGACGGUUGUGCCCUAAAGGGGCAAACGAAAAAAAAAGAAGAAGAAAGACUAGCAACAAUCCAGAAGUGUUGUGGAUAACAAUUUUUAAGAAGCAGCCAUUCUCUAAGUUUAUUAGGGUGUUAAAGAAAUGAAGUUCCCUCUCACAUACACACACUCAAGAAUACAAGUCUCAGGAGAACUUGCUCUGUGUGAAGAAUUCUCAUAUUCAUGCUCGAGGAGCAUGCACUCCGGGCCUUGUGUUCACAAAGGCUAUGAGAGCCCUGGGGAGAGUAGGUUCUCUGAGGGUAGGACACAUACUUUGGCAGCUUGGGGGACACAUUCUGGAGCUGGUGUCUCUGGAGUCCAUGUGAGUUGGGCCUGUGGGGGUCCCACAGACAGGGACCCCUGGCAUUGCUGACGGGUGAAGGGCCUGCCACAGCAGUCUCUGACAUUACUUUCUCACACCACCUUUCCCGCUCGCUCGCACAGCAGUAGACACACAGGAUAUGAAGCAGCAGCUCUUCCUCAUCCUGCCAUCAAACAGUCUGUUUCCGCCUUCGCCUUUCUGCGUCCGACCUUUCACAGGGACCAAGAGAAGAGCCUAAGGAGCAGCAGGCAACGUGCUGUGCAGAGUCAGGUCAAGACUGGGUUUGUCUGAGCAGCCAGGAAGAGGGCUGUGACCAGGGCUCUGAGAAACAGGGACAGGGGCCAGCCUGACAAAAAGAACAAAGACCUGCCCGGGGAAGGUGAAGAAGGGAACUGUUAACCCUUCAGAAAGUGACAUGGCUUUUAGUAAGGUGAAGGCCGGCCUGUAAAACAUGCCAGCCAAGUAGAUUUUAAUCGAAGGGUGGGAAUGACCUGCUGGCCUGAUCAGGCACCCGGGCUUCUGAGAUUGCCUUCCUAGCCCUGCCCACACACACUCCCCGCCCGACGCCCUUUCCCUAGCCUAAGUCCCUGAGUUUCUCGUCCGUUGUUCACUUGAGUCUACUGUAUGUCCUUUUCGUCCAUUCGAGGGGGGCUAAUUAGCUGUUAAGGCAGACUCCAGUUCAUUUCUGUUCACCUCAUUAUUUAUUUCUCUUUUGGGCUGAAGCCCAGCAACAAACAAACAUUAACAUUCCCCCUGCAGAGCAGGCAUACAGACACACGGGAGCGUGUUACGCACAGCACACUCUCACAGCAUGCACACGUGCACACGCACACACACCUGCUCCGCUGCUAUCCUGCUGUGCGAGGUCUCUGCGGCCCCGCUCUCUCAGGGCAUCUAGGGUAACACCGCUUUCCAUUUCAGACCUGGGACUCGGAAAAACGUAACAAACGGUGUAAUGGAAUGGCCCUGGGCAAGCAGGGAAAGGACGCUGGGAAUUUCGGAAAGCACAGUCCCCCCGCCCAGCACCCGUUAAGGGCCGCUGCUGCUGGUGUCCUGCACGCAGCCGUUUCCUCCUCCCGCCCUCCUGUUCCCCGGGCCGCCUGGGCACCGGCGCCUGCACUCUGCAUUCAUUGCAAUACCGCAAACCCUGUUUCUAGCCGUUUACAAUCAAGUGGGAGACCGUCCAAAUUUCCGUCUCAAUGGAGAUCAACUGUUCUAAAUCCAAGCUCCCAUGAAGCGUUCCAGGGGCCGGCCUGACUUGGAAUUUAAGCAGCAGCUCCGCCCUCCAUGGAGUGAGCGGCGGCCGGGGCUCCGGAUGAGGCGGGCCUGCCCCCUAGCGACCACGGUGCUGCACGGCAGCUCUGAGGGCUCGCGGGCUGUGCAGCCGCCUGUCAGCUCCUCCCGAGGACGCGGGGAGGAGACACAGGAAGAGAGUCGUUCAGUCCCCAAGUCCCAUCCCCUUUCCCUCCCCGACAUCUCUCCUCGUUGCCCCACUCCGGCUCCGCCGAGCUGCAGUGGUCUGUUAGCUGGACUCUGACUCCAGCUUCGGUGUGGAAUCCAUGCACCUCGCUGCAGGACAUUCGUUGUCGAUCCUCUGUGAUCUCUAAUUAAGGCCCUGCUGAGCCUCCUCUUUAUCUACAGGGAGGGUCCUCAGCGGGGAGACACGCCCUUCCUGGAGAGGCGCUCCGCCAGACACCCGAGACUGGGCGGGCGGCGUUUCUCCCCACACGCCCACCGGAGGAGAAGACGACCCUCCCCGCGCUCGGGCUGAACCGCUGUUGCUGAGCUGCAGUUCCGGAGGUGUCCUGUCGCUCAAAUGUGGGGACGCGGGGGAAAGAUACAGAAGACAGGGUAUGUGUGGAUGUUGUCACGGGGUUUGAGGGAAGCACGUCUCACACAUGUGAGAACCCAAUCAUCACAUUUAUGAACUACAAAAGGAUCAGCAUUUUAAAAUUAGUAAUUUGUGAAUUUUUCUCAUUCCAGAGAGCCUCUGCCAAAUUGCGUAAGCUCCUACACAACGCAUAAGUACCUCUGGUGAUCAGGCAACAGUCACAAUCAAGACUGCAAAUGAUAUUUACCAAUUUGUCUGGUUACUUUGGAAGUUCUUUCAACAUCCGGCUUUAAAAGGGCAAGAAUAUUAAGCAAGGUGAAUUGAGGCUGCUUUACUGAAUACCUACAUAGUUUGUUAAGUGAACACAAACUAAUGUUAAAGUAGAACGCUUCUCACCUCAGUUUCUCCGGAGGGUCUGACAUGUGGCUCUCAGGUACCAAUGUGUGCAUGAGACAGAACACUGUAAGAGGAAUCUAAAACAAAACGAACCCUGAUGUUUGGGUUUGGUUUCCACAUUUAAGGCCAUUUAUCCAAGGACUUCUUUCUCUCUUCAAGAAUAUAAAAGGUUUUUUUGAAGAGUAAGAAGAAAAAAGAAAGAUUCUAGUGAGAAGGGUUUUUUGGAGAAGUUUUUGUUGUGAGCCUGAAAGUCCUGUAUCUCGAGAGAAAAUAAGGGGUGAGGGGACACCUGAGCCUCUCUCAAGUUUUGAGGCCAUUCCGAGAGCCUAAUAUGUGUUACCUGAAGUUCGAAAGACAGUGAGCCGAGAGCUGAUUUCUGCCCCAGAAAAUCUGCAGAGUAAGAGAGAAGCUGGCCAGUUGUGUUGAGGAUGAUGGAGCCAAAGCAAGUAGCUGCUAUGUCUGGGAAAUUCCCACCACCUCAAGCCCCUGCAGUGGAAGGACAAGGCAUGUUCCCUCAAUGUAGGACACGAUAGAGGACCAGCGAUCCUGAGGCUGUGUUAGGAUCUACCAGAGAGGACCUCGUAGAAAGGGCAAUGGGACUCCACUGUGUGUGUGGGUGGAUCCUCUAAAGUGGGAGUUGCCAGCAGAAAAAGGGGCAUCAACACAGCUCCAGAGAUCCCACAGAGGGGGUACCCCCCAAAAGAAUGCUCAAGAGAAUAUCAGCCUUAAACAUCAGCCACAUUCAGCACAAAGCCAAAUAAUGGCAGAUAGAGCUGAGUAAGAAAAUUCUCUUCUACUAUUUUUGGUUCCUCUCUUUAUGUCCCAACCCUAGAGGCAAGUCUAAUGAGGAAGGAGCAGGAAAACAGAAAUGAAGAACAAGCCUUCCUCUCUCACUGCAGGUAGCCAGCUCACACUGGAGCUGCCCAAGAAAGGGAGACCAUUCAACACUAAAUAAAAUGUAGGGUUUUAGGUUUUUCCAGGGCUAGGUAUUCUAAUGUGUGUAUUUAGGCUGUGUUUGUGACUUAGAAUGACCACAGGACAGACUGUAAAUUACCUUGGGGUGAACUGUAUUCCUCCAAGGCAGGGAAAGAUUGCCAUAUGAAAUAAACUUUAUAGGAUCAAUAAGAACAAAAUCAAGUUGUGUUUUUACCACAUUCCACAUGUCAAAUUUUUUACAUUAAGAAGAACGUAUUAGAAAGCUAUAAAUAAAAUGUUGAUAAUGGUAUUGUUCUGAUACCAUUUUCUGAUCCUUUUGCAUUGGGCUUUAGUGGAAUCCAUAUUCCUAAGUGGCCGGAUUCAUGUCUCUGUCUUGAUAUUAAUCUGAAUCAUUCAUUCAUUAACCCAACAAGUAUUUAUUGAGAUCUGACAAGUUCAGCUUCCUAAGCUCUGCUUUAGACAUGCCAGCACCCCUUCUCAAGAACCUUCCGUGACUCCCCACAGCUUACAACAGACAGGAAUAUCAGUAGGGUAAGGCUUUACCUCACCUCCUCCCUCUCUCAUUGCGUGUUCUGAUAUAUGCCUUAGGGGCUGGGGUGUGUCCUUACCUCCCCUUUCAAGAGCCCACCCUCAGUGCUGCCCUAAAAGCCACUGUGAUGUGUCAGAGGAUUCAUUUAAUUUGCUCUUAGCAGAGCCCCUAUCCUUUGCCCACCUAAAUCACUUGGCUAAAAAGGGAAUUGAAUUAUAUUUCAUUUAGAUUCAACUUACAUUUUCUUUUUUUUAUUAUUAUUAUUAAGCCAGGAAUUUGAUAUCCUCUCUUGGCAGCAGCCCAGCAGUAAUCACUUUAGCCCAGAUCCUUUCUCUAAUGCUGUAUCCUGGGGAAGGAAAGCUUAUGGGGAUUUCAUGAGUGGUCCUGGUGAAAUGACAGUUUAUUUAUCUCCAGGGACUCUUUAGUCUCCGCCUCUUGCACCUGGCCCUGACAGAAGGUUUGGGGGCUUUGGGGUCAAAGCAGUUUGUUUGGGAGAAGAAGGACAGGAACAGCAGUUAUAAAUGUCUGACUGCAGCCCACUUGUAAGAGAUCUUUGCAGUUCAUACAAAUGAAGUGGAUUGAAAUGCACUAUUCUAGAACAAUAUGCCUCCCUAGUGUCUCCCCUGCAGCCUCCACAUACCCUGUUUGGGAGAGUAUUAAAAUGAAUUUUUGGCUGAGCACGGCAGCUCACACCCGUAAUCCCAGCACUUUGGGAAGCCAAGGUAGGUGGAUCACUUGAAGUCAGAAGUUCAAGACCAGCCUGGUCAACAUAGUGAAAACCCAUCUCUACUAAAAUUACAAAAAUUAGCUGGGCAUGGUGGCACAUGCCUGGAAUCCCGGCUGCUAAGGAGACUGAGGCACAAGAAUACUUGAACCUGGGAGGCAGAGGUUGUGGUGAGCCAAGAUCAGCUGCUGUACUCCAGCCUGUGCCACAAGAGCCAGACUCUAUCUCAAAAAAAAAAAAAAAAAAAAAAAAGAAUUUUUGACUUAAGUGUGAUUAUCCUGUUGCAGCUUAUUGUACAUCCAAAAUACAAGUAUUGGAAGGCAUUACAAAAUCAAGUUAACUGUACUCUGCCCAGGGUGGCUGGAGCUCGACAUUGCCCUGAAUGCACGUGCUGGUUCUGCUUCCCCACCACCAGGUAGGACAGACCGCACACCUGGAAUAGCUUCUCCUUUCUCCCAACCUAACUGAAUAUUCCUCACCAUCAACCCCUAGCUAGAGACUGUCUCCACCGUGAAGGCUUACGCGUAACAAUUUGUUCAAUUGUUUGUUAACAGAAACUCAACUACGUUAUUUUAACCAAAUAGGGUUUUUUUCUCAUGCACCAAGAAGUCCGGAAGCAGACAGCCCAGGGCUGCCACUGCUGCUCAGAGAAAUCACCAAGGACCAGGCUGUUUCUAACGUCCUUCUCUGAUAACCUCAGCGACCACUUUUGAUCUUCCUGGUGGUAAGAUGACUGUUCUACUCUAGGCGUUGCGUCUGGGGCCCAGGCAAAGAGAAGGAGCAGGGCAAAGGGGCAAAGGUGCAUGCCAACUGAGUUUUGCCUUUAUACCAAGAAAAUAAUUGCUUUCCUAGAAGCCCCACUCACCAGACUUCCUCUGUCAUCUUGCUGGCCAGAACUCGAUUGGGUGACCACUUCUUUCCGAGCACAUGGCUUUCCUAAACAAAAUUGGCAUGCUAUUAGAAAGGAGGAGGAGAUGGAAGAAGAUGAGAGAAACAACCAGCCGUGCCUACCACUCCUUCAGCCUAUUCCAGUCCGUUGGAACUUAACCCUCCUCUGAGCAACUAUUUACAGUCAUCCCGCCCUAUCCUGAGGGGACACUUUCCAAGACCUCCAGUAGAUGCUUGAAACCAAGGAUAGUAUCAAGCCUUAUAAAUACUGUUUUUUUCCUUAUAUGUACAUACCUGUAACAAAGUGUAACCUAUUAAUUAGGCACAAUAAGAGAUUAAUGAUUAUAACUAAUAAAAUAAAGCAUUUAUAACAAUAUACUGUAAGAAAGGUUAUGUAAAUGCAGUCUCUCUCUUUCUCUCUCAAAAUACCCUAUUAUAUUGUACUCAGCCUUCUUCUUGUGAUGUGUCCACGGUUGGAUGUCAGGAGCAGACAAUGUCAAUAAUUAACGGCUAGGUAGCACAUACAGUGUGGAUACACUGGACAAAGGAGUGAUUCAUAUCCCCACAGGACAGAGUGGGGCGGUGUGAUAUUUCAUAACGCUGUUCAAAAUGGUAUGUAAUUUAAAACUUAUAGAUUGAUUAUUUCUGAAAUGCUUAAUUUAGUAUUUUCAGACCAUGGCUGAUCAUGGGUAACAAACCAUGGAAAGAAAACUGCUGAUAAAGAAAAUACUGUAUUGCGGCCGGGAGUGGUGGCUCACGCCUGUAAUCCCAGCACUUUGGAAGGCUAAGGUGGGCGGAUCACUUGAGGUUGGAAGUUCGAGACUAGCCUGACCAACAUGGAGAAACCCCAACUUUAAAAAAAUAAAAAAAAAGAAAAUACUGUAUUACAGUUUGUGUGCAGCAAGAGUCCACGUCUAUAUCCCCCAUAAUACAGUGCUGAGCACAUGGUAAAUGUUCCAUUGACUAAUACUACAAAUUCCAUAUAGGCAACAUGGCGUAAUGGUACUAGCUAGGCUUUGGAGUCAAGUAGCCUGUGCUUGAAUCCCAACUCAGCCACUUGCCAUUUAUUAGUCCUGUAAACUUGACCAAGUACUUAACCUCUCUGUUCUUCAAUUUCCCCAUCUGUAAAAUGCAAAUAAUGUGUUAAUACAUAUAGACAAGCCUUGGCAUUCUGGGGAUUGGUCCCAGGGCGCCCCCUAUACCAAAAUCUGUGAAUGUGCUAGUAUCUUUCAUAAAAUGGCAUAGUAUUUGCAUAUAACCUACCCACAUCCUCUCAUAUUCUUUAAAGCAUCGCUGGAUUACUUACAAUACCUUGAUCCAAUGCUUACACAUCACUUUAUUCAUGUGGAGUCAAUGUAGUACUCAGUGCCUGGUAAUUUCAAGUUUUUCUCUAUGGAAAUUUGUGCGAUUUCCCCCCAAAUGUUUUUUGUCUGAGGUUAGUUGAAUCUACAGAUACAGAACCCACAGACAUGGAGGGUUGCCUGUACUUAAUGCAGUUGUUAUAAGGAUUAAAUUAGAUUAACCCUAAUAUUAAUUUAAUAAAUUAACUUUAAUAGAACAGCUACAAUAGUAAGCACUAUGUAAGUGUGUAUUCAAUGAAUACAUGAUUGUCACCUAUGGUUAAAACAUUACCAGAAAUUGGGACCCAGAAUUUGACAAGUUAGAGCAUCUUCAUGGACUAAAGGAACAGAAUGGUUGAAGCCAGGACUGCUGAGGUCGAUUAAGAUGCAUGCUACAACCGCAGGUGAGACAUCAAUAAAGGGACCUAGUGACAUGUGGGUCAGAGUUGAGGCUUUAAGGUUAGGAUGCCAAAUCCAGCCACUAGCUUCCUACUUAUUAACUGUGCUCCCUGGGCAAAUCACUGAAUCUGUCUAAGGUUCAGUUUUCUCAUAUGUAAAAUUAGGAUAAAAAUAAACAGAGCCUCCCCUUAGGUGUUUUGAAGAUUAAGUAGAAAACUAUGUAGGGUACUUAACAUUAUCCACGGUAUGUCUGAAUAAAUGUUCAUUUUGUUAAGAAUCAGGACCUAUAAUUGAGAAGCCAACUGGACCAUUUGACCUUGGCUGAAGGGGGUGCAGGAGUGCAGAAUGAAGUUUUGCCAUGAAUGUAGAUUCUCCCUUACAAAUCUUUCCAUUUUCAAACCCGAGGCGAGAAAUUGGAGCUGAGGGAAAAGUAUCCGAGCUGCAAAGUUGUUUGGCCUUCCUGGGGCGUUAUGAGGCACAGGAAUGAGCCAGUGCCCUCUAGUUUGAGUUCUGACAAUGGAUUCUUUUUUUAAAAAAUGGAACAAAUGGAGCUCUCCUAAGAAACAUUUACUUUAUUUUCUUAGACUGGCAAUAUAGAGCCAGGUGCAGUGGCUCACUCCUGUAAUUCCCACACUUUGAGAAGCCAAGGCAGGAGAAUUGCUUGAGUGCAAGACUUCAAGAACAGCCUAGGCAACUUAGUGAGACCCACCCCCCAUCUCUACAAAAAUAUUUAAAAAUCAGCCAGGCAUCGUGGCUCAUGCCUGUGGUCCCAGCUACUUGGGAGUCUGAAGUGGGAGGAUUGAUUGCUUGAGCUGAGGAGGUCAAGGAUUCAGUGAGCCGUGAUUGUGUCACUGCACUUCAGCCUCGGUGACAGAGCAAGACCCUGUUUCACAAGGAACAAAAACAAACAACAACAACAAAAAUAACUGGCAUAUAGCAGACAAUUGUUAUCUCUGGAAGCUCAUCCACUCCCAUCUCCUAUAAGAUAUGUCACACACACACACUCUUCCAGGAAACUAAGAGGCUAAAUAUUUUAGCCAACAUCAUGGAGUUAGUGGAAUCUAAACCCCAGAUUUAUAACUAUUUUUUUUUUAAAAAAAGGAUCUUGCUUUAUCACCCAGGCUGGUGUGCAGUGGCAUAAUCACAGCUCACUACAGCCUCAACCUCCCAGGCUCAAGCGAUCCUUCCACCUCAGCUUCUUAGUAGCUGGGAUUACAAGUGUGCACCACCACACCUGGCUUUUCAAAUUUUUUAUUUGUUGCAGAAAUGAGGUCUUGCUAUGUUGCCCAUGUUGGUCUCAAACUCCUGGCCUCAAGUGAUGCUCUCACCUGAGCCUCAUAAAGUGCUGAGAUUACAGAUAUGAGCCACUGCGCCAAACCCUUCUACCUUUAAAUUUGUGGUUUGUUACAUUUCAAAACAAUUUUCUCUGUUAUGAAAUCAAACGUAAUGUGCGUUUCCUAUAAUCUCUACCUAAACUCCUCCUCUUAAAUAGCUUAUGAUAUACUGUUGCAAACAGAAAUAGAUGCCCUAGACAGAAGAUCAGAUGUCUUCAAUCCUAUUAUCCACGUAUCCCUAAUUCCAUGAGAAGUUUCAGAGGGCAACAUAUGUGUGGAAGGGAGUGUGGAGCCAAGGGACAUUUUGAUAGACCUUGGGCAUUGGCCUCAAACACUACUACACUCCACUGGCAGGCAAGGCUAAGUCAGGUUACGUGGCCCAGAGCCUAGAAAUAAAAUGGGUAAUAGCCUACAUGACCUCCUCUCUAAGUGCCACCUGAGUCUCAGCCCCGCUCAUCCCAGCACUCAAUGGUCAGGUAAGACCAAUCCAGUGAUAAUCAGAAGAGGUGACAGAGAGAGCUUGUGUGUGUGCCAAUGUACAGGUCAGAGCUGCUCUGGGCAGCCAGCCCCAGCCCUCAGAUAAACUCAGCACAGCCCUUCUUGCUUACCCAGGAAGAUGGGAAAGGGAGAGAGUGAAGAAGCAAGAGAGAAUAAAAUGAAGAAGCUCAGACUUCUCCUUCUUCCUUUCCUCUCUAGAAGAAAACCAUCUCAAGAGCCAGAAGUGGUAUAGGCGCCUAAGUCAGGCUUAUUCAAGCUCCACUUGUAAUGCUCCAUGCCCUAAAUAAUAUGACUCAAGACUGUCCCUGAACAUGGCUGAUCCACGGGAACAUCCUUCCCCCUGGAUAGUCUCAGAGGUGGGUUAGGGGAGCACCAUGAGCUUUUUCAGCCUACAAGCCAACCUAUUUUAUUUUAUAUUCUAAUGUCACUAUGUCAGAACUUAAUAG